UUUUAAACAUUUUUUUAUUUAUUAUUUCACCUUUAUUUAACCAGGUAAGCUAGUUGACAACAAGUUCUCAGUUACAAUUGCGACCUGUCCAAGAUAAAGCAAAGCAGUGCGACACAACAGAGUUACACAUGGAAUAAACAAGUGUACAGUCAAUAACACAAUAGAAAAAAAAAUAAUGUCUAUAUACAGUGUGGGCAAAUGGCGUGAGGUGGUAAGGCAAUAAAUAGGCCAUAGUAGGGAAGUAAUUACAGUUUAGCAAAUUAACACUGUGAUAGAUGAUAGAUGAUGUGCAAGUAGAAAUACUGGUGUGCAAAAGAGCAGAAAAGUAAAUAAAAACAAUAUGGGGAUGAGGUAGGUAGAUUGAUGGGCUAUUUACAGAUGGGCUAUGUACAGCUGCAGCGAUCGGUUAGCUGCUCAGAUAGCUGAUGUUUAAAGUUAAUGAAGGAAAUAUCAGUCUCCAUGUUACUAAUACAAGUAUCCUGUGUGUGUAUCCUGUGUGUUCUUUUCUCUCCUUCUCCCCUCACAGGUGAAAAUCAUCACUCCCCAAUCAGACAACAAUCAAUCAUCAAUCAGAAGACAUACCUCCUCCUGUUUCCUACCCUAUCACAGUUCCUUUCCCUUGGUUUAAAAACCCCAUCAGUUGUUUGCUCUAGAGCUCAAUCUCUCUGUAAAUGCCAUGCUAAGAUACUCCAGGAGGCGAAGGAGGAGCCACAGGAGUUGGAGCGAGCACUAGCUAGCAAGCUCCAUGAGCAGGAAAAGCUGAUGGCUAAUGGCUUCACAGAGAAAGAGGCAGCCAUGAAUGAGGAGAUACAGAGCCUGAGAGAGAAGGAGGAGGCCAAGCGUGAGGAGAAGGAAGAGCAGUCUUGUAACUUCAGAGCCAUAGCACAGGGUGUCAUGGAGAGUGUCAGCAAUGGCUUAGGUCCCUACUUUAACUAUAAGAAAGCCUGUGAGCAACGCAAGACGAUUGUGUUCAAGGAGCACAUGACUCUCAAGCAAGACGGCCACACCCAAACUCAAAACAGGAGCAGUUGGCAACUCUAAACACAACUCUGCCCAAAGUCAACACAGGUACAACUGACAAAAGCCCUGGCUCAGAGGUCUAUAGGAUUCACCAGAGAUUGGUCAAUGGUCCAGAUCAGCAGCCACACCUUUCUCCAGUCUCAACAUUAACCAGAAGAGCUACUAGGAAAUAGUGCAACAGAAAGACUGCUGUGCAACAACAGUACAAUGGGGCCAAACCAGCUGUCACUUCACAGAAGUCAGUUCCUCAGUUUAUAACCAUUAAUUUAUCAUUCUGAUAUAAUUAAAUAUUUAAAAGGUUAUUACAUACCAUUCUUAGAAUUGUAGUUAAGAUGUGUGCUUUGUUUUGUUCUUGGAUGUAGGGUCAAGUAAAUUAGCUUAACUUGUUUUGAAGUCAAAUUUGGCUAGAAUGGAACUGCUCAGCUUCAAUGUGCUUUUAAAUUCAGGGUUGACCAUUAUCAUGUUUUGUAAUUGUUGUUUAAAUAAACCUUGCUUCAUCUCUAUUUCUGCCGCCAUUCUAAAAUGGCAGCAGUUUUACGGGUGCCCAACCAAUUGUGCUAUUAUGUGGGGGUUUUUCGCGUUAUUUGUAACUUAUUUUGUACAUAAUGUUUCUGCAACCGUAUCUUACGCCAGAAAAGAGCUUCUGGAUAUCAGGACAGAG
Oncorhynchus tshawytscha (Chinook salmon) is the source of this 1681-nucleotide long non-coding RNA. The record is from Ensembl. Lineage: Eukaryota; Metazoa; Chordata; Actinopteri; Salmoniformes; Salmonidae.